CUCACUAAUUCCCUUGUCUCAGUCAGUCUCAAUGUUGUUAAAGAGUCUUUUUUUAGCGCGUGGGUUUGUUUUGUUUGGAUGUGUUUUGAUUCAUGUGUGUGAGUUUUAUGUGGAUUUUGAUGAUUUGUGAAGGUCGUGUUGUGGGGUUUUUAUUUGGUAGUGAAAUCUUAUAUUUUCAUGUUGGUGGGUGUAGAUUUUUUAUUAAGGUAUUUGGAGAUGUUACAUGCUGAAGAUAAGUUAAAUGUGUGGCUAUUUGCUUCAAUAUAAGCUAAGAUGAAGAAAAAAAAUAUUUUUAAAAGGGGAAUUUGUGGCCAUUUCGUCAAAGAGAAAUGAAAAAGGCUAUGAAGAUUGAAUUUGUAGAGUAGAUCAAGGAGUUCAGCUAGUUAGAAUGGAUAAUAUUUUGGUGAAAGGGCUGUUUUUUAGUGUGUCUGCGUGCAUUUAUUUUUGUUUAUGGAUGGUAUGUUUUCUGAGUUUUAUAUGUGAUGAGGGAGUUUGGAGUGUUUUCCUUC
Long non-coding RNA from Mangifera indica (mango), 509 nucleotides. RefSeq lists it as uncharacterized. The transcript has 2 exons. The record is from RefSeq and is a predicted model, not a curated record. NCBI's taxonomy places the organism in Eukaryota, Viridiplantae, Streptophyta, Magnoliopsida, Sapindales, Anacardiaceae.